GGGGGGCUUUAGGUCUGCUGUCAAGGUAGAAGCUUAACUUCGGUUCGGCAGUGGAAACUGGAGCGCUAGAGUGCGACAGGGGUAGAGGGAAUUCCCAGUGUAGCGGUGAAAUGCGUAGAGAUUGGGAAGAACACCGGUGGCGAAAGCGCUCUACUGGGUCGCGCCUGACCCUCAGGGACGAAAGCUAAGGUAGCGAAAGGGAUUAGAUACCCCUGUAGUCUUAGCCGUAAACGAUGGAUACUAGGCGUGGUUUGUAUCGACCCAAGCCGUGCCGAAGCUAACGCGUUAAGUAUCCCGCCUGGGGAGUACGCACGCAAGUGUGAAACUCAAAGGAAUUGACGGGGGCCCGCACAAGCGGUGGAGGAUGUGGUUUAAUUCGAUGCAACGCGAAGAACCUUACCAGGGCUUGACAUCCCGCGAAUCUUGCUGAAAGGUGAGAGUGCCUUCGGGAGCGCGGAGACAGGUGGUGCAUGGCUGUCGUCAGCUCGUGUCGUGAGAUGUUGGGUUAAGUCCCGCAACGAGCGCAACCCUCGUCCUUAGUUGCCAGCAUUAAGUUGGGCACUCUAGGGAGACUGCCGGUGACAAACCGGAGGAAGGUGAGGAUGACGUCAAGUCAGCAUGCCCCUUAUGCUCUGGGCAACACACGUCCUACAAUGGUCGGGACAAAGGGGAGCGAGCCCGCGAGGGUCAGCGAAUCCCAGCAAACCCGGCCUCAGUUCAGAUUGCAGGCUGCAACUCGCCUGCAUGAAGGAGGAAUCGCUAGUAAUCGCCGGUCAGCAUACGGCGGUGAAUUCGUUCCCGGGCCUUGUACACACCGCCCGUCACACCAUGGAAGCUGGUUCAGCCCGAAGUCGUACCUAAACCUUUCGGGGGAGGGGGGGCGCGAAAGCUGGGCUAGUGACUGGGGUGAAGUCGUAACAAGGUA
This 925-nucleotide ribosomal RNA is filed under the name uncultured Cyanothece sp. RNAcentral's name for it is "bacterial SSU rRNA". It matches the Rfam family "Bacterial small subunit ribosomal RNA", at positions 575 to 1498 of the family's 1533-position model. The record is from RNAcentral. Lineage: Bacteria; Bacillati; Cyanobacteriota; Cyanophyceae; Gomontiellales; Cyanothecaceae.